UACGUAGGGGGCGAGCGUUGUCCGGAAUUACUGGGCGUAAAGCGCACGUAGGUGGUACGUCAAGUUCGGCGUGAAAUCUCCAGGCUCAACUUGGAGGGGUCGUCGAAGACGUGGCGAACUAGGGUCUGGCAGAGGCAGGUAGAAUUCCCGGUGGAGCGGUGAAAUGCGUAGAGAUCGGGAGGAAUACCAGUGGCGGAAGGCGGCCUGCUGGGCCACGACCGAGCACUGAGGUGCGAAAGCGUGGGGAGCGAACCGGG
This 257-nucleotide ribosomal RNA is filed under the name uncultured bacterium. RNAcentral describes it as "partial 16S ribosomal RNA". It matches the Rfam family "Bacterial small subunit ribosomal RNA", at positions 524 to 777 of the family's 1533-position model. The record is from RNAcentral.